Cuculus canorus (common cuckoo) is the source of this 6157-nucleotide long non-coding RNA. RefSeq lists it as uncharacterized. The record is from RefSeq and is a predicted model, not a curated record. NCBI's taxonomy places the organism in Eukaryota, Metazoa, Chordata, Aves, Cuculiformes, Cuculidae. The transcript has 3 exons.
GGCUAAGAGGUUUCAAAGAGCUGCCCUUUCACAAGGAGCACUUCCCUUAUUCAGCUGGUUUCUGGAACACAGCAGCUUUGUGUUCCGCUCCUGUGCUUUUUCCCUCUCUGUAAUUGUGUCUCUUCAUUCACAGAAUAUCUAACCAACUUAACACCCUCUGCUUUUAUUCUCUGUAAUCCAGUUUCCUUUUGAUUUUAGCUUUUGCUGCCAAGGAGAGAGGAGUAGAAAGAAGUUGCUGAUGUGAGGAGAGCAGAUCUUUCUCUGCAGUCUGGUGAACGGAUUUGGCUGAGCCACUUCACAACAAGAUAAACAGCACAGAAGCGGGAGACAAAGCGAGAUGGCUGCUCUGCAGUAAUUAUCACUCUGUUCAGAUGAAUACGGAUUAGUCUCUUUUUUCAUAACUGCUACACCAACAAUCGCAGCGAUAUAGUGAGUGUGAAUUACAUUCCCCGGCUCAGCGAGGUACUUACAUGCUUUAUUUUUCUCAGUUACAUAUUCUCGUGAUUGGCACUGCAGUGCAUCAUUUUAGACGUUUCCUAGGUCAGUGGAAUUUUUGCCUGAAUGAAAGCUUCAGGAAGUUGUUUUUCCAUAAGUUUUGUUAUUUCUUUGGCUGUACAGAGUUGUCCUUCACAUCAGUUUCCUCAGGUUUCUGUACUCAAGGAAGCCAGUUUCUAUAACUACUUGGAAAACUCCUGUCUAGCCAUUCCUGUGUCUACUUCUGGCAAAACACAAAACUUUUCAGGUUCAUGACACUUUCCUUUUCUAUAUUGCACCAAAAAUACAAUUAUCACUCGUUAAAUGAGCUGCAAGAUUACAAUAAAGGACUAUGUUCUUCUAAUUCAAUCAAGUGAUUUUCCACUAGCCUGUGCAGAAUGGCUCCUGAUUUAUACCAAUUGAAGCAGAAAAAAAAGAAUGAGGCAUUAGCUGUGGAAUAAUCCGUGUUCUGGUUAUCCCUAAGUGCAAAAUUCUCACUGAGAGAAAAAAGCAGCCUCAAUAAAGCAGAGCUUAAACAUCACAUUUAAAUUAAUCUAAACCCAGACUAGGCACGUCAGAUUUAAGACAGAUAUAUCUUUUUCAUUUGUUACGGAAUGCAGAAGGUGUUUGGCUGUAGGAAAAGGUGCUGGCGCUCUGAGGGAAUACGGUGUGCCACUGGAUUUUUAUUUGGUGGACAGAGCCAUUGCUGGUGUUCUAUCAAUGAAUUCUCUGAUAGAGCUCUGAGCUCUCCAGCAGCGCUAUAUUACAGUCAGGCAGCAGAGACUCGUGUUUGUCUCUGCCUUAGAGUGGGUAGAGCUCCCUCUCAGGCAAGGUCUGAGAUCUUCCUGCGACUCAUACCACCAACCACUUUGGUUUUCACUGGGCUUUAAGUAGCCUGAUUUCUGGUUUACUCUAACAAGCUGGGCUGAAAAGAGUGGCAGGGGUAGUUUCAAAAGUGUAUUUCCAUACAGUGCUGGAAGCCCUCCAGAGCCCUGAGUAGUGCUCUGGAUGCCACUUUUAUUCCAGCAGUGGUGCCUGUUAGUCUGUUAUCAGCUGGGACUUGUCCUACGGAAUGUCCUAAAGACUUAGUGCAGUGAAGGCUUUGUGUGCAAAUCCAGUCCUGAACCUGGAGCAUCCCUGUGAGCAGCAGCUCAAGGGAAAGCAGGCUUAGCUGGGAGCUGGUUUUGAGCCAAAUCCAAUUGUUGAACAAGCGACUUCAGAGAAAUAAAUGCAAGAGGUUUUUCUGCUUCAUGAAGCAUUCACUGCCAUCACCUCAUUUUUAUUAUCAUCCUCACAGUACAAGCUCUACAGCCCGCUCAGGGGGCAGCUUACGUUUAGGUUUCAUCUUUUGAUUCCUGCAGAAUUAAUAUUACCCUCAGUGUAGCACACUCGCUCCUUUGUAAGACCUUGCCUUGAAGCGAGAAUCCCAGACAGCGUGCACCAAGGUUUGCCCUCAUCAUGUUUUGGUCAUGAGUGUAAUUUUGUUCAGUGUUGGCCACCGUUCAUUUGUUCAAGGGGUAUGGACCCUCACAACUAGGAAUCAUUGGAUCCACAGGGUAAUAGCGCUGAUGGUGGUUCUGUGACUGUGCUGAAGCAAGAGAUCCCUCGCUAUCUGCUGAAAGAAUGAAUUGCUGCAGCUUGCGCAGGUGAGCUGUGGAAUAAAGCAAUCCUCUGGGCACAGAGAGUUUGAUAACUCCUGUAUGGCACGCAGGGAAGCUGUGUCAUUUGUAUCAAACAUGUUAACGGGGAGCCAUUCCACCUGCAGCUGUACAGCUCUACAGGAGCCAAAUAUCAGAAAAUUUCCAAGUCCUGAAAGGAGCCAAGUGCCUGACUUUGUUAGGAAACCAUUGCUUCUGUUAAUGAACUUGGCACUGCAAAAGCUAUUGUUGAGCACUCAAUGGCCAUUCCACUAGUUUGCAGGAUGUCAGAGGCUGAAGAUCACAUUUAGCUGCAUUCCACCCACACCUGCUUUAUUUUAAGCCUGUGUUUUAUGCCUCUUUGUUGGGAAAAUGCAGUAUCCCAAAAGGUUCCUAUGAAAGUCCAGUCCCUAUCCAAUUUAAAGAAAUAGAUGAGUCAGUGAAAAACUGGUCUUAAUUAAAUCAAUGGAUGUUUUCCUGUAAAAGCAGACAAAGAAAAUAAGCUUUUAAGAUUGAGCAUUGUUCUGAGUUUCCCUUGGAGGAGACUGAUUUGGCUCCUCUCUGCUUGUCUGCACUGUAGAGGAUGAUUGUUCUGCAUUUUCACACCUUGGUUAAUCACAAAGAGAGGCCUACUACUUUCUGGCUGUCUCAGUGUUGUAUUAACGGAAGAGAUGUGAGUUCGGUGAGAUAAAAAAGCACCUGGUUGAUGCCAGUAGGCGCUCUUCUAAUUGAGGGAUGACUUCACAGAGUUGUGUAUCCAAACCUUGAAAUAUGUUAAUGCAAUUAAGGAUUUUCUUAUGGUGAAGAUUUCUGUCUUUGCUAUUUAUAAUGCAUGUAGCAGAGUUUGGGUGGGUUUUAUUGUUUUCAGUUUUUUUGCAUACACAUUGUAAUUGUAAGAAAAAUUGCAAAAGGUGGAAGACUGACCAUACAUUUGUAGAUAAAAGAGAAAGAAGAAAAGCUAAACCACCUACCCAGCUGGAGGUCAAAUCCAAACCAAGGGCUACUUGACAACAAGUACACCUUUGGAAAGAUGGAAAUUCUAUGAGGCUUUGUCAUAUAUGGGGAAAUCAGCUUUAGUUUCCUUCCCAUCCCAUCACCACAGUCCAUUUCUCCCUUACUGUGUGAGCCAUUCGUUUGGGGACCAUAUUUGCCAGUGUGCUUUCUAAGGGGGAGGGUUAAAAAUAACCUAAGUUUAUUUUUAAACUGGAAUGCUUAAGUGAUCUGGUUUACAGUGUUACUUGACAGACAGCUCAGGCCAACUGAGGGUACAGGCAACUUUGGGCUUUGCUUUCAGAGCUGGACGGUGGUGACAUUCCACCUUUUAAAUGCUUCAUUUGUCUUUUUUUUCCCAAAUGAAAUAUGAACACUAAAUGCGUGAAAUCUGAGUUGUCAGCCUGACUGUUGGUGUCGCAGGCACGUGGACUGGAUUAGAGCCAGUCGACUGCGAUUCUGCUCAGUGCUCUGAAAAGAUGGGAGCCUUGGGCUCUGGUGCCUCACUAGUGGUGCUUCAGCACAUUGCUUGAUUUGGGAAUUAAUCUGCUUGUAGGGAGAGAAAACAAGCCCUUCUGAGUGUAAUUAGAGUAGAGGUCCUUCCAUGGAUCUCUGAUAGACAGAGGCAAGUUCAUAGUAGCAGGUCCAUAGAGAAGAUUGCAUGUUUUUUUCCCAGUGUACCUUUCCUUUUAAAGGCUGAGUCACCAUGUUCCUGGCUCUGAUACAGAUGCAUGGAGGAAGAUGGGGACAGGCUGAGAGAGUUGGGCUUGUUCAGCCUAGAGAAAAGAAGGCUCCAGGGAGAUCUUAUAGUUGCCUUCCUGUACUUAAAGGAAGCUACAGGAAAGCUGGGGCUCUUAAGGAGGGAGUGCAGGGAUGGGAUGGGGGGAAAAGGUUUUAAGUGGAAAGAGGGGGGAUUUAGAUUAAAUAUUGGGAAGAAUUUUUUUCCUGUGAAGGUGGUGAGGCACUGGCACAGGUUGCCCAGAGAAGUCGUGGCUGCCCCAUCCCUGGAGGUGUUCAAGGCCAGGUUGGAUGGGGCUUCGAGCUGCCUGAUCCAGUCGGAUGUCCCUGCCUGUGGCAGGGGGGUUGGAAAUGGAUGCUCUUUAAGGUCCCUUCCGACCCAAACCAUUCUAUGUUUCUGUGGCGAUUCUCUGUGCGUCCAAGUUUCUCUGCCCAGGUCUGAAUUGUACAGUCUGAAGGAGAGCACACAACUGCAUACUUAAUGUGUCCGUCUCCUUCAGCUCCCCUGGGGUCCAUUCAGCGCCAUGCCUUGCUCCAGCAUGUGUCAUUACCAAAUAUUUGAUCAAAGCGGUUCUAAAGAGAGAAUAAUCUCCAAGGUGACUUGUCAGUUUAGGGUGAGUUUUCCCAGCCUCUCAGGUGUGCCAUCCGCAUAGCAAUUGUCAGGAGAACAAUAGUGAUGUAUUAUCUCAUUGAAGCAUUUUUUAUCCAUUCCAAUAAGACCUGAUCAGACAGCAGCUGAAUUGGUUGCAUCUAGUGAUAAGUAUUAGACGAGGCGAUGAGCUAAUGCAAACCUGAAAGCUCUUAUUUGAUAUUUACUGGGUUGCUUUGAGAACUCCCACAUGCCUGGUCAUGUCCCAGGCACCUUUUCAAGCCUCAUUUUCGCUGCCUGUAUCCACACUCAGGAAAGCCACCAGCAGCAAUAGAAUGUUCAUGUGGAGUUCUAUAUUAAGCAUCUCUUUUAUAUGGGAAAUGAAGAGUGCAAAUGUAUUUAUUACCUAUUUUGUGUACUAUGCAUUGAGUAUUUAUGAAAUCUAGAAUGCGUUUUUGCUGUUCUUACUCCUUUUCUCCCGUUGCUAAAAUAAAUGGAAUACAGUGCAGGAAUUUCACUGCACAGAUAUUUUCAUACACUUGUGCUCUUAGUUCCCUUUUUAAUUCUGUGGAAAAUUUAGGUACGCAUGGAUUCAGUUACCUCAGCCAUAGAAUAAAAUCUUUGGAGUCAAACCGAUCGGGUCAUACAAGGCAUAGCUGCUGGAGGGAAAAAAGAAAAAGCUGCUUUCCUCUGGAAAAAUUGGCCUUUUCUGAUAAUUUUGGCUUUGUAAAUAACAUGUAAAAAUGCUCAUCCACUUUUGAACAUGCAGAGUUUCUCUGGUGCACUCGGGUACAAGCAACGGCUGAGAUACUAAACUGUUACCCAGUUCUUCCUCUAAAGAAUUGUUGAAGAAAGAGGAUUAUUAUUCACACGUUUUUUAAAAAAGUCAUCUGAAGGUCAGUGAAUUCUUUAUGAUUUUCUUGUUUUAAAUCUCUUAUUAGGAUAAUUGUAUUAUUUUAAAAGGAAUUAAUUAGUAAAGUAACACGUCCAAGCAUUUGCCUGCGAUCCAAGGAGUCAUUUCACCUCACCUGCUGAAACAGAAACCAGAGGAUUCUGUCUGACUAAUUAUCUUGGACGUAUUAGUUGUAAUGGUUUUAAUUAUUCUAAAUAACUGCCAUGAGAAAAAUAAUACUCUAAAAUUACUUUUAAUAAUGUAAGAGUAUUUUGUAACAACUACUAUUUCCAAUACACAGGAAAAACAGCAACAGGUUGGAAAAAAACCUUCAUUUUUGUCAGAGAAUUAUGAGAGACAAAAGUUAACCUCAGAGACAGAGUCACCGUAGACUUUUUCAGUUGCUUAUUUCCUAGUUCUGAAAAGCAACUGUUUUCUUAUUUCAAAAGCAAACUAGAAGUUGAACAUGGCUUUGGUAGAAAAUUACUCUUCACCACCCCAGGCCUUUUUAUGGAAUGUCUAUAUCUCCCUAUAUCUCUCAAUUCCUGAUUAACUCCUGAUGCAUUUCUUAUUGCUCUCCCCUUUAGAGAUACAAGUUCAGUUCCUCAGUGUUUUUUCCAGGGCAUGUGGCACACACGUGAGGAGGAAAUACCAGACUGACGACAACUUCUUGUCUGUGCAUAGCAGGGCACCCCAGCCGUGAGCUCCAGACAUGCAUGUGAGGAUUCCAGGAUCUGAAGUGUCUGAAACACAUGAGCCAGGAGCUGGGGAAUUACCAGUGCACGUUAUUAUUAUUGAACACCAUCCACCAGGAAACUGGAAGUCAACACUUACAGG